This 466-nucleotide ribosomal RNA is filed under the name uncultured bacterium. RNAcentral describes it as "partial 16S ribosomal RNA". It matches the Rfam family "Bacterial small subunit ribosomal RNA", at positions 29 to 507 of the family's 1533-position model. The record is from RNAcentral.
AUGAACGCUGGCGGCGCGCCUAACACCUGCAAGUCGCACGAUUAAAGCACCUUCGGGUGUGUAUAAAGUGGCGAACGGCUGAGUAACACGUGGGCAACCUGCCCCUUUCAUUGGGAUAGCCACGGGAAACCGUGGAUAAUACCGAAUACUUCGAGACUUCCGCAUGGAAGACUCGAGAAAGCUCCGGCGGAGAGGGAUGGGCCCGCGGCCUGUUCGCUUGUUUGUGGGGUAACGGCCUACCAAGGCAAUGAUGGGUAGCUGGGUUGAGAGACCGACCAGCCAGAUUGGGACUGAGACACGGCCCAGACGCCUACGGGAGGCAGCAGUGGGGAAUCUUGCACAAUGGGCGAAAGCCUGAUGCAGCGACGCCGCGUGCGGGAUGAAGGCCUUCGGGUUGUAAACCGCUUUCAGCAGGGACGAGGCGAAAGUGACGGUACCUGCAGAAGAAGCCCCGGCUAACUACGUG